GUCCAAUAAAUAACUAAAAGUUUACAUUUUAACAAUUUUGUAAAACUGCUAUAUUUUGGGCCCAAAAAGGGGUCUUACUGGACCUACUCCUUUACUUGCAUAACUCCUCCUACUGAUUGAAUGCUAGGAAUUUAUUACUCUGCUAGCUGUUUGUACAUGUCUUGAUGGUGUGCAUGUGGUUUUUUCUUUCUAUUAUUUUUCCUCUUUUGGGUGAAAAAAUUUGUCCUUUUCGGGGUAUAAGUGGUUAAAUGAGUGGAGUGCGGGGGCAUCGAUUUGUCUAGUUUACAUUUUUUUUCUUUGCUGUUACACUACUGUUACAGUUCGAUGUUCUCUCACAUCGUGUUAAACUCUGCCACGUGCACUUUCUUUAUGUACCUGAAACAAGUCAGGAGCACGAAGUUCAAU
This 405-nucleotide long non-coding RNA is filed under the name Mytilus galloprovincialis (Mediterranean mussel). Lineage: Eukaryota; Metazoa; Mollusca; Bivalvia; Mytilida; Mytilidae. The record is from RNAcentral.